Molecule: ribosomal RNA, 216 nt
Filed under: Clostridioides difficile
Lineage: Bacteria; Bacillati; Bacillota; Clostridia; Peptostreptococcales; Peptostreptococcaceae
Description: partial 23S ribosomal RNA
Rfam family: Bacterial large subunit ribosomal RNA
Source: RNAcentral
UCCCACAGGCCGUAAACCCAAGGUUUCCAGGGGAAGGUUCGUCCGCCCUGGGUUAGUCGGGACCUAAGCUGAGGCCGAAAGGCGUAGGGGAUGGACAACAGGUUGAUAUUCCUGUACUACCGAUAACUGUUUGAGAGAAGGGAUGACACAGUAGGAUAAGCUAAGCACACUGUUGGUUAUGUGUGCCCAAGCAUUGAGGCAGUCAAAGUAGGCAAA